This is a regulatory RNA element of Astyanax mexicanus (Mexican tetra), 54 nucleotides long. It matches the Rfam family "UnaL2 LINE 3' element". Rfam says of the family: The eel long interspersed element (LINE) UnaL2 and its partner short interspersed element (SINE) share a conserved 3' tail containing a stem-loop that is critical for their retrotransposition. Presumably, the first step of retrotransposition is the recognition of their 3' tails by UnaL2-encoded reverse transcriptase. The record is from Rfam. Lineage: Eukaryota; Metazoa; Chordata; Actinopteri; Characiformes; Acestrorhamphidae.
AUGAAGCUCUGUUGUAAGUCGCUCUGGAUAAGAGCAUCUGCUAAAUACCUUAAA